GGAGUUGUAGCUCAGUGGCAGAGCACUUGCCUAGCAUGCAUGACGCACUGGGUUCAAUACUCAGCACCA
This 69-nucleotide transfer RNA is filed under the name Ictidomys tridecemlineatus (thirteen-lined ground squirrel). RNAcentral's name for it is "Spermophilus tridecemlineatus (thirteen-lined ground squirrel) tRNA". It matches the Rfam family "tRNA". From Rfam's summary of the family: Transfer RNA (tRNA) molecules are approximately 80 nucleotides in length. Their secondary structure includes four short double-helical elements and three loops (D, anti-codon, and T loops). Lineage: Eukaryota; Metazoa; Chordata; Mammalia; Rodentia; Sciuridae. The record is from Rfam by way of RNAcentral.